This 770-nucleotide long non-coding RNA is filed under the name Bos taurus (domestic cattle). RNAcentral's name for it is "long non-coding RNA NONBTAT001763". The record is from RNAcentral. Lineage: Eukaryota; Metazoa; Chordata; Mammalia; Artiodactyla; Bovidae.
AAAAUUUUUGGUGCCAACUUUUAGUGACUGAACAAUAACCACCGUUUGUUUAUAUCAUUCAUUUUUAAUUCUAGCUGCUAAAAUCCCUAUCAACUCAAAUCAGUAGGAAUCUUAUUAGGGUGUAUUUCUUCCCUCUAGCCUGAACACCCAUUUGGUACAAGACCAGCGGCUGCCCCUCAUAUAUGUUAGAGAUGAGAGCUAGAUCAGUAGUGUUACCAAAGUGCCUGAUUCAUCUUACCAUUGGCUCAAAUAUGAAAUGCUUGAGACAGGCUUUACUUAACGUAGUUUCUUGCAGUUACCUGAGAUUAAAUCAGCUUCAUCAUCCCAUCAGCCUUAGAGUACUGUUUCUCCCUUUUGGUACUAAAGGAUAAAAAUUAAAAAGUGUCCCAUACAUUAAAAAAUGGGUGGUUUUAACUGUGGAGUUAAACUGCUGAUGAAAGAAUCCUAUUGAAGUAACUACAAGGGGGCUGAUGUGUUAGGACUGAUACUUCUCAGAGAACACUUUCUGUGUUUAUUCAUCACACACACCCCUAACAGAAUCCACAGACCCUAAUGGAAUCUUUGUAAAAAAAUUUUUAGCUAGUUUUACCUUUGACAGUUGCUUCUGUUAUUAACUACCUGCAAAGUCUGGAUGAGCUAUGGUCCUCUAUGCCAGAUGAGUGCCAAGCCCAGUCAGGUAAGCCCUUCUAGUUAGUUAGCUCAAUUCCCAUUAUCAGUGAACAGCUUUAAAAAAAAUAUGAAUGAGAGAGAAGGGCUUAUAUGAUCACCCC